AGUGAACGCUGGCGGUAGGCCUAACACAUGCGAGUCGAACGGCAGCACAGUAAGAGCUUGCUCUUACGGGUGGCGAGUGGCGGACGGGUGAGGAAUACAUCGGAAUCUACUUUUUCGUGGGGGAUAACGUAGGGAAACUUACGCUAAUACCGCAUACGACCUACGGGUGAAAGCAGGGGAUCUUCGGACCUUGCGCGAUUGAAUGAGCCGAUGUCGGAUUAGCUAGUUUGCGGGGUAAAGGCCCACCAAGGCGACGAUCCGUAGCUGGUCUGAGAGGAUGAUCAGCCACACUGGAACUGAGACACGGUCCAGACUCCUACGGGAGGCAGCAGUGGGGAAUAUUGGACAAUGGGCGCAAGCCUGAUCCAGCCAUACCGCGUGGGUGAAGAAGGCCUUCGGGUUGUAAAGCCCUUUUGUUGGGAAAGAAAAGCAGCAGGUUAAUACCCCGCUGUUCUGACGGUACCCAAAGAAUAAGCACCGGCUAACUUCGUG
Molecule: ribosomal RNA, 492 nt
Filed under: uncultured bacterium
Lineage: Bacteria
Description: partial 16S ribosomal RNA
Rfam family: Bacterial small subunit ribosomal RNA
Source: RNAcentral